Molecule: long non-coding RNA, 567 nt
Organism: Musa acuminata subsp. malaccensis (wild Malaysian banana)
Lineage: Eukaryota; Viridiplantae; Streptophyta; Magnoliopsida; Zingiberales; Musaceae
Source: RefSeq, a predicted model, not a curated record
CCUCCUCCUCCUCCUCUCUCUCUCUCUCUCUCUCGAAAUGGAAGCAGGACUGGCGAAUCGAUUAUCGAAGGUGGCUCUGCUUCUAGUGCUGCUUGUUUCGGUGGCGGUCCGCGCGGAGGACGCGCCGGCGCCGGCACCAGGAAUGGAGAGCGGAUCGAUCGCGGCGGUGCCUGGGCUCUGCGUGCUGCUUCUCACCGCCAUGGCUUCCGCGCUCGCUGCCUUCGCGCAUUGAGGGCCAAUCUCUCAAUGGCUCGUUCUAUGAACUGGAUCUAAGAAAACCCAUUUCUGCAGUUGUAUGAUCGGAUCUGUUUUGCUGAUUAAUCUGAGCAGCAUGAGAAGACUAGAAAUCAAGGUGGCAACAUAUGCUUCUCUUGCAGAAUGAAGCCGAUGUGCACACCAUUCCGAUGAUUUCAUAUGGGCUAGUAGUAUCCUUUGAGAAUCUGUUAUGUGUUUUCUUGAUUUUAUUUACCAUUAGAAUGAUGUAUAAACAAAUAAAUCAUUUCUCAAAGAAAAUGCUGGGCUCAGCCCAAGCAACCUUUUUUCUUUUAGAAACAUUAAAUGUUCCGA